Molecule: ribosomal RNA, 468 nt
Filed under: uncultured bacterium
Lineage: Bacteria
Description: partial 16S ribosomal RNA
Rfam family: Bacterial small subunit ribosomal RNA
Source: RNAcentral
GACGAACGCUGGCGGCGUGCUUAACACAUGCAAGUCGAACGGAAAGGCCCUGCUUUUGUGGGGUGCUCGAGUGGCGAACGGGGGAGUAAAACGUGUGUAUCCCGCCCUUGUCAUUCGGGUAUCUCUAGGGAACUGGGGCGCAUACCGGAUAGGAGCUCCUGAUCCACGAGGGGGGUUGGAAAGUGUCGGCGUUUGGGGAUGGACUAGCGGCUUAUCAGCUGGUUGGGGGGGUAGUUGAUGUCAAGGGCUUCGACGGGUAGCCGGCCUGAGCGGGGGACCGGCCACAUUGGGACUGAGGUACGGCCCAGACUCCUACGGGAGGCAGCGGUGGGGAACAUUGCACAAUGGGCGGAAGCGUGAUGCAACAACGCCGCGUGCGGGAUGACGUCUUUCGGGUUAUAAACCGCUUUCGCCUGUGACGAAGCGUGAUUGACGGUAAUGGGUAAAGAAGCACCGGCUAACUACGUG